UAGGGAAUCUUCGGCAAUGGGGGGAACCCUGACCGAGCAACGCCGCGUGAGUGAAGAAGGUUUUCGGAUCGUAAAGCUCUAUUGUUAAGGAAGAACGAGUGUGAGAAUGGAAAGUUCAUACUGUGACGGUACUUAACCAGAAAGGGACGGCUAACUACGUGCCAGCAGCCGCGGUAAUACGUAGGUCCCGAGCGUUGUCCGGAUUUAUUGGGCGUAAAGCGAGCGCAGGCGGUUAGAAAAGUCUGAAGUGAAAGGCAGUGGCUCAACCAUUGUAGGCUUUGGAAACUGUUUAACUUGAGUGCAGAAGGGGAGAGUGGAAUUCCAUGUGUAGCGGUGAAAUGCGUAGAUAUAUGGAGGAACACCGGUGGCGAAAGCGGCUCUCUGGUCUGUAACUGACGCUGAUGUGCGAAAGCGUGGGGAUCAAACAGG
Molecule: ribosomal RNA, 429 nt
Filed under: Bacteroidota bacterium
Lineage: Bacteria; Pseudomonadati; Bacteroidota
Description: Bacteroidetes bacterium partial 16S ribosomal RNA
Rfam family: Bacterial small subunit ribosomal RNA
Source: RNAcentral